Non-coding RNA from Petromyzon marinus (sea lamprey), 291 nucleotides. NCBI's taxonomy places the organism in Eukaryota, Metazoa, Chordata, Hyperoartia, Petromyzontiformes, Petromyzontidae. The record is from RefSeq and is a predicted model, not a curated record.
GAGGCGUUCCGCGCGGAAGAACGCAACCAGGCCCUCGCCUAACCGCACGCGGCGCACGGCGGUCACCGAGUACGCAUGACCCUUCACCAGGCCGCAGUCCAGGCGCGCCUCCAUCUCCGUCGAGGCCAGAGCCUACGGUCGAUGGACUCGGAGACGCCGCCCGUGAAGUCCACGAGGGCGUCGCUCGUGUUGCCGCCAUCCAGCGCCUCGUAGCAGCCGCACAGCCUGGGGGACGUGGGACACGCGGUGGGAUGAUGGACGAUAAAACUAAUAUAAUACAGUAAAACGUUG